RNAcentral lists this ribosomal RNA (406 nucleotides) under uncultured bacterium. Its description in RNAcentral is "partial 16S ribosomal RNA". It matches the Rfam family "Bacterial small subunit ribosomal RNA", at positions 29 to 526 of the family's 1533-position model. The record is from RNAcentral.
AAUGAACGCUGGCGGCAGGCCUAACACAUGCAAGUCGAACGAGUGGCGGACAGGUGAGGAAUGUCUGGGAAACUGCCCGAAGGCGAGGGAUAACUGCGGGAUAAGGUAGCUAAUAACGCGUACCAUCGGAUGUGCGCAGAUGUGAUUAGCUAGUAGGGGGGGGAACGGCUCACCUAGGCGGCGAUCCAUAGCUGGUCUGAAAGGAUGACCAGCCACACUGGAACUGAGACACGGUCCAGACUCCUACGGGAGGCAGCAGUGGGGAAUAUUGGACAAUGGGCGCAAGCCUGAUGCAGCCAUGCCGCGUGUAUGAAGAAGGCCUUCGGGUCGUAAAGUACUUUCGGCGAGGAGGCGUUAUUCACAGAGGAAGCAACGGCUAACUCCGUGCCAGCAGCCGCGGUAAUAC